This 429-nucleotide ribosomal RNA is filed under the name Bacteroidota bacterium. RNAcentral describes it as "Bacteroidetes bacterium partial 16S ribosomal RNA". It matches the Rfam family "Bacterial small subunit ribosomal RNA", at positions 355 to 776 of the family's 1533-position model. The record is from RNAcentral. Lineage: Bacteria; Pseudomonadati; Bacteroidota.
UAGGGAAUCUUCGGCAAUGGGGGGAACCCUGACCGAGCAACGCCGCGUGAGUGAAGAAGGUUUUCGGAUCGUAAAGCUCUGUUGUUAAGGAAGAACGAGUGUGAGAAUGGAAAGUUCAUACUGUGACGGUACUUAACCAGAAAGGGACGGCUAACUACGUGCCAGCAGCCGCGGUAAUACGUAGGUCCCGAGCGUUGUCCGGAUUUAUUGGGCGUAAAGCGAGCGCAGGCGGUUAGAUAAGUCUGAAGUUAAAGGCAGUGGCUCAACCAUUGUAUGCUUUGGAAACUGUUUAACUUGAGUGCAGAAGGGGAGAGUGGAAUUCCAUGUGUAACGGUGAAAUGCGUAGAUAUAUGGAGGAACACCGGUGGCGAAAGCGGCUCUCUGGUCUGUAACUGACGCUGAGGCUCGAAAGCGUGGGGAGCGAACAGG